This 200-nucleotide unclassified non-coding RNA is filed under the name uncultured Perisporiopsis. Its description in RNAcentral is "sequence contains ITS2". Lineage: Eukaryota; Fungi; Ascomycota; Dothideomycetes; Parodiopsidaceae. The record is from RNAcentral.
UUAAGUUCAGCGGGUAUCCCUACCUGAUCCGAGGUCAAAAUUGAGAAAUGGGCUUCUGGAUACCAACAUGCUGGCGGGAGUCGCAAGAUUGUGCUGCGCUCCACGACCGGUACGUCGGCUGCCAAUUGCUUUGAGGUGAGUCCCUGUGACAGGACAAGCACCCAACACCAAGCAGAGCUUGAGGUAUCAAAUGACGCUCG